CAUUGUAAUCUCACUACCAUCGACUUUGGUCUUUUCGGUAUGUGGACUUGGAUGCUGCCGUUGAUGUUGACGGCUCGUCUGAAAUGCCUGAGUGUACCCUGCUUUGCGGCGUAUUCGGUGUGAUACAUCUUCACCGGAGUUGAUCCUUGUGGUCGCGUCUGUAAUGGUGUGGCUCUAUGCUUCCAAUCGUCUCUUUGGUUAGACAAUCUCUGACAAUUUGACCUCAAAUCGGGUGGGACUACCCGCUGAACUUAAGCAUAUCAAUAAGCGGAGGAAAAGAAACUAACAAGGAUUCCCCUAGUAACGGCGAGUGAAGAGGGAAAAGCUCAAAUUUUGAAUCUGGUGUCUUUGACUCCCGAGUUGUAAUCUAGAGAAGUGUUUUCCGUGUCGGACCGUGCACAAGUUCCCUGGAACGGGGCGUCAUAGAGGGUGAGAAUCCCGUAUAUGGCAUGGACUACCGACGCUUUUGUGAUACACUCUCAACGAGUCGAGUUGUUUGGGAAUGCAGCUCAAAAUGGGUGGUAAAUUCCAUCUAAAGCUAAAUAUUGGCGAGAGACCGAUAGCGAACAAGUACCGUGAGGGAAAGAUGAAAAGCACUUUGGAAAGAGAGUGAAACAGUACGUGAAAUUGUUGAAAGGGAAGCGUUUGAAGUCAGUCAUAUCUGGCGGGAUUCAGCCGGGCUUUUGCCAGGUGUACUUCUCGUCCGAUGGGUCAGCAUCAAUUUCGACCGGGGGAAAAAGGCAUUGGGAAUGUGGCUGUCUUCGGGCAGUGUUAUAGCCUCGUGUUGUAUGCCUCGGUUGGGAUUGAGGAACGCAGCGCGCCGCAUGGCCAGGGGUUCGCCUCUUGACACGCGCUUAGGAUGCUGGCAUAAUGGCUUUAAGCGACCCGUCUUGAAACACGGAC
Molecule: ribosomal RNA, 903 nt
Filed under: uncultured Sebacinales
Lineage: Eukaryota; Fungi; Basidiomycota; Agaricomycetes; Sebacinales
Description: eukaryotic LSU rRNA
Rfam family: Eukaryotic large subunit ribosomal RNA (bases 219-903)
Source: RNAcentral